This 554-nucleotide ribosomal RNA is filed under the name uncultured eukaryote. RNAcentral's name for it is "SSU rRNA". It matches the Rfam family "Eukaryotic small subunit ribosomal RNA", at positions 21 to 577 of the family's 1831-position model. The record is from RNAcentral.
UGUAGUCAUAUGCUUGUCUCAAAGAUUAAGCCAUGCAUGUCUAAGUAUAAGCAAUUAUACCGCGAAACUGCGAAUGGCUCAUUAAAUCAGUUAUCGUUUAUUUGAUAGUACCUUACUACAUGGAUAACCGUGGUAAUUCUAGAGCUAAUACAUGCUAAAAAUCCCGACUUCGGAAGGGAUGUAUUUAUUAGAUUAAAAACCAAUGCCCUUCGGGGCUCUCUGGUGAUUCAUAAUAACUUCUCGAAUCGCACGGCCUUGCGCCGGCGAUGGUUCAUUCAAAUUUCUGCCCUAUCAACUUUCGACGGCUGGGUCUUGGCCAGCCAUGGUGACAACGGGUAACGGAGGGUUAGGGCUCGACCCCGGAGAAGGAGCCUGAGAAACGGCUACUACAUCCAAGGAAGGCAGCAGGCGCGCAAAUUACCCAAUCCCGACUCGGGGAGGUAGUGACAAUAAAUACUGAUACAGGGCUCUUUUGGGUCUUGUAAUUGGAAUGAGUACAAUUUAAAUCCCUUAACGAGGAACAAUUGGAGGGCAAGUCUGGUAAUCGAAUCCCC